GGAAAGGCAAGCUAAGGACAGUUGUUCUUCGUCGUCUUCUACCUCUCCAGCAGUCUGAUGCAGCGCGACAAAGCUACUGCUGUAGCAGACCUGCGUCUCCGUCCUUGGCAGCUCAAGAUUGAUCCACGUAGCGUCUCUAGGACAGAAGAUUGAUCGAGGGCGUCCAUUCGUCCUUUGCCCUUUCGAAAUAGUUUGAAGGCUCAGAAAAAGAGUGUCUCCCCUUAAUUGUGAAAGUUUUUGGGGUUCAAAUUUUGAAUGGACCCAUUGUUCUUUGGAUUUUUCCUCAUCUCCCCCCCAAAUUUCGACCUAUAUAAAACUGACUUUCUUCUCUAUUAAUGGGGGUGGGGGGAUAUUUUGAGAAGAAAAUACCAGAGAGGUUUUUGUGAGUUGGGAAAUUUUUGGCGAAGAACUACGUAAGCCGCAUUAAAAUACUCCUUGGAAUUGUUCUUGUUUCGUUGUCUGAAGAUUGCUAGGACUCGUAGAAACUCCCAGGGUUCGGAGUUUGUGGUGAAGUACUCCGUAAAUCGUUGCCGUCCCAGUUGCGCUGCCCCUAUAAAGUCCCUCGGGAAUCCUUGUUUCCUCUUGCAUCCGUUAAUUGAGCUGGGAAAGCUCAAUUUUUCCCAUCGAUUCAGCUAUCUUGGCAACUUUAGGAGGUAGCUGGAAAGGCUGAAGACAGCAAUAUAUUGCUGGAAAUCAAUUUUCCAGCCCCCA
Molecule: unclassified non-coding RNA, 711 nt
Filed under: Hevea brasiliensis (rubber tree)
Lineage: Eukaryota; Viridiplantae; Streptophyta; Magnoliopsida; Malpighiales; Euphorbiaceae
Source: RNAcentral